This 511-nucleotide ribosomal RNA is filed under the name uncultured bacterium. Its description in RNAcentral is "bacterial SSU rRNA". It matches the Rfam family "Bacterial small subunit ribosomal RNA", at positions 18 to 518 of the family's 1533-position model. The record is from RNAcentral.
CCUGGCUUAGAUUGAACGCUGGCGGCAGGCCUAACACAUGCAAGUCGAACGGUAACAGGAAGCAGCUUGCUGCUUCGCUGACGAGUGGCGGACGGGUGAGUAAUGUCUGGGAAACUGCCUGAUGAGGGGGAUAACUACUGGAAACGGUAGCUAAUACCGCAUAACGUCGCAAGACCAAAGAGGGGGACCUUCGGGCCUCUUGCCAUCAGAUGUGCCCAGAUGGGAUUAGCUAGUUGGUGGGGUAACGGCUCACCAAGGCGACGAUCCCUAGCUGGUCUGAGAGGAUGACCAGCCACACUGGAACUGAGACACGGUCCAGACUCCUACGGGAGGCAGCAGUGGGGAAUAUUGCACAAUGGGCGCAAGCCUGAUGCAGCCAUGCCGCCGUGUAUGAAGAAGGCCUUCGGGUUGUAAAGUACUUUCAGCGGGGAGGAAGGUGUUGUGGUUAAUAACCGCAGCAAUUGACGUUACCCGCAGAAGAAGCACCGGCUAACUCCGUGCCAGCCGCGGC